Molecule: long non-coding RNA, 2798 nt
Organism: Gallus gallus (chicken)
Lineage: Eukaryota; Metazoa; Chordata; Aves; Galliformes; Phasianidae
Exons: 3
Source: RefSeq, a predicted model, not a curated record
GCCACAAAUGAGCAGCAGCUUCUAACACGUGAGAUCUCUUCACAGCAGAAACCAUUUAUCCAAAUCAUUCCAGGUGUGAGCAGUUCGUCCCUGCCCAGCAUGCAGCACAGCUCAUGUCUGGCUGACCAGGCAAGGCCCACGUGUGGACAAAAGGAACCACCUCCAUGGAAGGGUCAGAGGAACAAAGGAAGGAGUGAAUGGAGGUCAGCUGGCACCAGGGUAUGCUCGGAUCCAUCGUGCCUUAGGAACGGCUCCCAGCCCACUUCUGACAUUUAUCUCACAGAACAGCCACAUUAAAAAUAAACACAGCUUGCACCAGCAUCCCCAGCCGCUGCACGGGGCCCUGCCAGGAGAACACAGCAAGCUGCAGCCAGCAGAGUGAGCUUGGAAAGGAGAAAGGGCUUGGGGACUUCAUUUUGUCACCAAACAUACUGCGAUGUAAUAUUCAGAGCAUUUGGAUUUGAUAUUUCUGCCUCGUGUUGGUAUAUUCCCUACAAGAGACAGCAGAACGCAGGGGGCAAUCGCGACCAAGUUGGUUUGGAAUCAGCAGUUCUUGGUUUGUGCAUUUCAAACUGCACUCACACACGGGUGGGCACACUGCACAUGCCUGAUGUGCUUUUCUCAUCUCUAAACUCGUGACGAAUCCUUCCCCUGUCUUCAGCUUCUUCUGAUGGGAUUGAAUAAAGCCAUGUGAAACACUCCCCCGUCUGUGAGCAGACCCCCAGCACCCGGCUGCCAUGCAUGCUUAGGAGGGGGUCACCAAUACACCCCCAGUGCCAAAUGUUUCGGAACACAACGUAACACACUGAAAUCUCUGCUGAGCUGUUGUGGCUCAAGCACAGUGCUGAGGGAGUGCUGCCCUGCAUCCCCCAGGUGGGGACACCGCACCGACCGUCGUGCUGCCCCAGCUGUGGGUCACGGCUGCAGUGAAGUUGUUGGACAAAGGCACAUGGAAGUGGGUGAGUGUGGGCAUGAGAAAGUAGGAAAAGUAUCUUUUUUUCCCGUGCUGUUUCAGUACAUGCUGAGGAAAUCGAGUGAGAGGCAGAGAUUGCCAGCUCUUAACUGCUAAAGAUAUUUGCAAGAGUCAUUUCCGCAAAUGUCUCCCAUUCCAUAUAUAGAUCCAUAGAGUCUGUGCUUCUAAUGGACUGACAAAUGUACCAUAACCCCGGAUGACUGUUGCUUCAUUGCUUGGCUAUACAGAUAAGAGGAAUGCUUCCUUUUGAUUGAGAUCUUAAAUCAAUUGUUCCCUUACCCAACGUCUCGUGGUUAUUAUCCAAGGAGAAGAUAAAGUUCAGGUGGUAAAUUGUUAAUAUUGUAAGAAAAAUGUCUGUUGUGUCCUGCUUAAAGUUCCCUGUCUGGAUGAAAUAUACCCUCCUAUAAUAUUUAAGACUGCACGUGAUCCAUCAGUGUGCACGCUGGCCCUACUCUAAGUGCUGCUGCCAGCUGUGAAGCACAGCACUGCAAGGCCUGCACCAGGGCAGAGGGGCCCUUAAAACACUGCCUGGUAUCACCCACUGCCUCCUCAGGUUCUGGGAGUGGAACAAUCAACGACACCGCUUGGGAUGCUCCUCUACAACAUCUCCAUAUCCACCUUACCACAUUCCAGGUUCCCUCUCAGGCAGACAGCAUACACAUCCCACAUUUGUUUCCAAAAUGAGCAACAGCUGCAAUCCUUCCCCUGCCCCUCUCCCAGUAGCUGUGGCCAUCACAUUUCAUGCUAAUUUGUUACCGAACUCUCAGCCACAUCACCAAGAGAUGCAGCUCCAUGGUGUCCUAUUGGGAACUCCUGUUGCACCAAAUGAAUUCAACCCCUCCGGGUCACUCUCGUUGGUGAAUGGCUGUGGGCUGCCCAUGUGAUUACGUGUCCUUGGGCAGGGGUGCGUCUUUCACUGAAGAGUAAAACAAUCUGAGCAUUAAAAUCUGUGCUCUGAUGCAGGUAGGUGAAGUCGUGACCCAUUCAUGGUGCUGGGCAGCCUGGAGCUGCAGUGUCACACAGCAGUGGGUGCUCACACUACUCCUGAGCAGAGAGUUGGGCUGACCCAGGGCUGGGGGCUGCUCCCGUAUGGGACAUCCCUGAUAGUGCCCCGUCCCCAUCCCUACAUAAUGCCCCACUGCUUUCUUCCUUUCAGUACAACACUGGCAGAGCUUGCACUGCCAUCUGUGCCUUUCCUGCUUGGGGAACACACAGCUGACUGUUGCCAGCCCAGGACAUCUCACCAACAUUAAACAUGAUUUUUUUUUCCUUCAAAGACACUUUGGGGAUUUUAAAUGAUCUUUUUGGCAGUUAACAGUACCCACACAUUGUGCAGCUCCAUUGCAGUCACUGCAAAUAUUCACCUGCAGCAAGCAGCUCUGCCUCUGGCACAGCCUGAUUCUAUUCCUACUGACAGGAAUCAAUAGCAGCAGAUAUGAGGACACAGAUAAAUGUGCGUGCAGUUGAUGAGGGGUGAAUGGCCCUUCAGAGCACGUCGCUCUCACAGAUUUCCGCUCCUCUCUGCCUUUUUACAUGCCUUGGCUAACUGCUCUGUGCGUUAUCUCGCUCACCUUGAGUGCCUGAGCUCUCCCACCCCUCUCCAAUAUGCUUUCAGCAUUCUGCAAUGUCAGACGUUGCUUCCAGCUGUAUGAGAAAUUAUCUUUUAUUCUUUAAAGGGAAAGCAGUUCAGAGCAUUUCCAUCUGCAGACGCAGCGGCUCCUGCUGCAGCCCGGCCCCGAGAGGCGCUGCCUCUCCUAUGUGGUCGGACUCCAUCAGCGGCAGCGCUGUGCAGCAGUGAAUGGCCGCCUUCUCAUGGCUCCUCUCA